Molecule: ribosomal RNA, 305 nt
Filed under: uncultured bacterium
Lineage: Bacteria
Description: bacterial SSU rRNA
Rfam family: Bacterial small subunit ribosomal RNA
Source: RNAcentral
UGUGCCUACGGGACGCAGCAGUGAGGAAUAUUGGUCAAUGGGCGCGAGCCUGAACCAGCCAAGUCGCGUGAGGGAUGACGGCCCUACGGGUUGUAAACCUCUUUUGUCGGGGAGCAAAAGACGCCACGCGUGGCGUUCCGAGAGUACCCGAAGAAAAAGCAUCGGCUAACUCCGUGCCAGCAGCCGCGGUAAUACGGAGGAUGCGAGCGUUAUCCGGAUUUAUUGGUUUAAAGGGUGCGCAGGCGGAAGAUCAAGUCAGCGGUAAAAUUGAGAGGGUCAACCUCUGCGAGCCGUUGAAACUGGUU